RNAcentral lists this transfer RNA (75 nucleotides) under Rhodospirillaceae bacterium. Its description in RNAcentral is "tRNA-Lys". It matches the Rfam family "tRNA". From Rfam's summary of the family: Transfer RNA (tRNA) molecules are approximately 80 nucleotides in length. Their secondary structure includes four short double-helical elements and three loops (D, anti-codon, and T loops). Lineage: Bacteria; Pseudomonadati; Pseudomonadota; Alphaproteobacteria; Rhodospirillales; Rhodospirillaceae. The record is from RNAcentral.
GGGCCCGUAGCUCAGGGGUAGAGCAUGUGACUUUUAAUCACAGGGUCGAUGGUUCGAAUCCAUCCGGGCUCACCA